This 189-nucleotide ribosomal RNA is filed under the name uncultured bacterium. RNAcentral's name for it is "partial 16S ribosomal RNA". It matches the Rfam family "Bacterial small subunit ribosomal RNA", at positions 707 to 895 of the family's 1533-position model. The record is from RNAcentral.
CAUCAGUGGCGAAGGCGACCACCUGGACUGAUACUGACACUGAGGUGCGAAAGCGUGGGGAGCAAACAGGAUUAGAUACCCUGUAGUCCACGCCGUAAACGAUGUCAAACUAGUUGUUGGGUUCCUUGAGGACUUAGUAACGCAGCUAACGCAUUAAGUUGACCGCCUGGGGAGUACGGCCGCAAGGUU